UUUCCCUCAGGAUAGCUGGCACUCGCUCGAGCGAGUCUCAUCUGGUAAAGCGAAUGAUUAGAGGCCUUGGGGCCGAAACGACCUCAACCUAUUCUCAAACUUUAAAUGGGUGAGAUCUCUGGCUUGCUUGAACGUUGAAGCCACGAGAUUUAUUUUGCAUGGAUCAGAGUGCCAAGUGGGCCAUUUUUGGUAAGCAGAACUGGCGCUGUGGGA
RNAcentral lists this ribosomal RNA (213 nucleotides) under Acerophagus sp. D0585. RNAcentral's name for it is "partial 28S ribosomal RNA". It matches the Rfam family "Eukaryotic large subunit ribosomal RNA", at positions 967 to 1163 of the family's 3401-position model. The record is from RNAcentral. Lineage: Eukaryota; Metazoa; Arthropoda; Insecta; Hymenoptera; Encyrtidae.